This 169-nucleotide small RNA is filed under the name Kitasatospora sp. Root187. RNAcentral describes it as "c-di-AMP riboswitch aptamer (ydaO/yuaA leader)". It matches the Rfam family "c-di-AMP riboswitch aptamer (ydaO/yuaA leader)". From Rfam's summary of the family: This family represents a conserved RNA structure found upstream of the ydaO and yuaA genes in Bacillus subtilis and related genes in other bacteria. The ydaO/yuaA element is thought to act as a genetic "off" switch for the ydaO and yuaA genes in its native state. It is believed that the element may be triggered during osmotic shock leading to activation of ydaO, a predicted amino acid transporter gene, and members of the yuaA-yubG operon which code for KtrA and KtrB K+ transporters. RNAcentral also lists the same sequence under 1 other name. Lineage: Bacteria; Bacillati; Actinomycetota; Actinomycetes; Kitasatosporales; Streptomycetaceae. The record is from Rfam by way of RNAcentral.
GGUACUCGAUCACCGAAACAUGGGCAGGAGCGGGGGAACCAGGUCAGUCUGCGGUCCCCCCUGCUCCGGUGCGGGGGGUCGCUCGGGGUGAAGCCGCUCCCACAGCGGCCGGGCGAUUCCUCUCGCCCGAACCCGACAGCUCACCUCGUAGGCGUCGCAGAGGACCUGC